AUUGAACGCUGGCGGCAUGCUUUACACAUGCAAGUCGAACGGUAACAGGUUAAGCUGACGAGUGGCGAACGGGUGAGUAAUGCAUCGGAACGUGCCCGAUCGUGGGGGAUAACGCAGCGAAAGCUGCGCUAAUACCGCAUACGAUCUGAGGAUGAAAGCGGGGGACCGUAAGGCCUCGCGCGAUCGGAGCGGCCGAUGUCAGAUUAGGUAGUUGGUGGGGUAAAGGCUCACCAAGCCAACGAUCUGUAGCUGGUCUGAGAGGACGACCAGCCACACUGGGACUGAGACACGGCCCAGACUCCUACGGGAGGCAGCAGUGGGGAAUUUUGGACAAUGGGCGAGAGCCUGAUCCAGCAAUGCCGCGUGCAGGAAGAAGGCCUUCGGGUUGUAAACUGCUUUUGUACGGAGCGAAAAGGCUCUCUCUAAUACAGGGGGCUCAUGACGGUACCGUAGAAUAAGCACCGGCUAACUACGUGCCAGCCGCCGCGGUAA
RNAcentral lists this ribosomal RNA (492 nucleotides) under uncultured bacterium. Its description in RNAcentral is "partial 16S ribosomal RNA". It matches the Rfam family "Bacterial small subunit ribosomal RNA", at positions 29 to 523 of the family's 1533-position model. The record is from RNAcentral.